Molecule: long non-coding RNA, 690 nt
Organism: Mesocricetus auratus (golden hamster)
Lineage: Eukaryota; Metazoa; Chordata; Mammalia; Rodentia; Cricetidae
Exons: 2
Source: RefSeq, a predicted model, not a curated record
CAGAACCUUCAUCCAAUGACUGAUGGAAGCAGAGGCAGACACCCAUGGCUAAACACUGAGCUGAACUCAAGGAACCAGUGACACUCAAGGCAGCAGUAUUCUACCUCAUUUAGAGAGACAAUAUGCAUGAAAAAGUCAGUUCUGUUUGGGGUAGGGAAAAUGGAAAUUUGCUAAUAUUCAUCAAGACAUUGUCAGGUGGAGAAAGCACAGACUGAUAAAAAUGGCCUGGGAAGGUGAGAGCUCCCAGCCUCAGCCUGAGGCCAUUAACUGUGUGAAUUGUAUAACUAAUGUUCCUAUUCUAAUUCUGUGCUUAUUAAGCAAUACUGUAAUUCUAAUUUGGCUUCCUGUGGCUGUCAGGGAAACAAAUCUUGGUUGUCUCAGAGAAUGUAUUGUCUGUACUAACCAUGACAAAAUUGAGCUGCAACCAUGCAGUUAGCUAUUUCUUUUCAGAAAUUAACUAUUCUACCUUGGAAACUAAGAGACUGAAAAACAAAAGCAGCAACUUGGCAAAAUUAUAUUUCAGAAAUAUCUCAGAUUUCAGAGAGGAGACGGAACUUAAGAAAUAAACACAUGACUGAGCAAACAAGAUAAAUAAGUCCUGCCUCCAACUCCUAGGAUUGCAUGAUCAGCUGCAAAGAACCAGAAGAUGAAAGAAGACGAAAAAACAAAGCAAAACAACAAACAAACAAA